AAAAAUAUCGUUGGGAUAGGUGCCCUUCGGGGCUUAAAAGGGAAGUUUGGUGCAAAGCCAACGCGGUCCCGCCACUGUAACGGGGAGCAAUCCCGCAAUAUGCCACUGAAGCCUUUGGCUUUGGGAAGGUGCGGGAGAGUGAUGAACCGGAGCCAGGAGAACUGCCUGUCUGACAAUCACCGUU
This 184-nucleotide non-coding RNA is filed under the name uncultured Sporomusa sp. Lineage: Bacteria; Bacillati; Bacillota; Negativicutes; Selenomonadales; Sporomusaceae. The record is from RNAcentral.